GCAGUCGACGUGCCUUCGGGCAAGUGGCAGACGGCUGAGUAACGCGUGAGUAACACACCCUUCGGUGGGGUAUAGCCUCGGGAAACUGAGGGUAAUCCCGCAUACGAUCCUUUCCCCCUGGGGAAAGGAUGAAAGCCUUCGGGCGCCGGAGGAGUGGCUCGCGUCCUAUCAGGUAGUUGGUGAGGUAACGGCUCACCAAGCCUAUGACGGGUAGCUGGUCUUAGAGGACGAUCAGCCAGAGGGGGACUGAGACACGGCCCCCACUCCUACGGGAGGCAGCAGCAGGGAAUUUUGGGCAAUGGACGAAAGUCUGACCCAGCGACGUCGCGUGGGGGAUGAAGGCUCUAGGGCUGUAAACCCCUUUUCCGAGGGAAGAGGAAGGACGGUACCUCGGGAAUAAGCACCGGCUAACUCCGUGCCAGCAGCCGCGGUAAUACGGAGGGUGCGAGCGUUAAUCGGAAUUACUGGGCGUAAAGCGCACGCAGGCGGUUUGUUAAGCUAGAUGUGAAAGCCCCGGGCUCAACCUGGGAUGGUCAUUUAGAACUGGCAGACUAGAGUCUUGGAGAGGGGAGUGGAAUUCCAGGUGUAGCGGUGAAAUGCGUAGAUAUCUGGAGGAACAUCAGUGGCGAAGGCGACUCCCUGGCCAAAGACUGACGCUCAUGUGCGAAAGUGUGGGUAGCGAACAGGAUUA
Molecule: ribosomal RNA, 691 nt
Filed under: uncultured Alteromonadaceae bacterium
Lineage: Bacteria; Pseudomonadati; Pseudomonadota; Gammaproteobacteria; Alteromonadales; Alteromonadaceae
Description: bacterial SSU rRNA
Rfam family: Bacterial small subunit ribosomal RNA
Source: RNAcentral